GCCUCGUGUGCUAUUUAUGUGUUGGUUAGAGCAUGGUGCUGAUAACGUCAAGGUCGCAGGUUUGAUCCCUGUAUGGGGCA
Molecule: non-coding RNA, 80 nt
Organism: Podarcis lilfordi (Lilford's wall lizard)
Lineage: Eukaryota; Metazoa; Chordata; Lepidosauria; Squamata; Lacertidae
Source: the annotation of a GenBank genome assembly